GACGUAGGGGGCCAGCGUUGUUCGGAAUUACUGGGCGUAAAGCGCACGUAGGUGGCGACGUAAGUCGGGUGUGAAAUCCCCGGGCUUAACCUGGGAACUGCAGUCGAGACUGUCUAGCUAGAGUAUGGGAGAGGGAAGUGGAAUUUCAGGUGUAGCGGUGAAAUGCGUAGAUAUCUGAAGGAACAUCAGUGGCGAAAGCGACUUCCUGGACCAAUACUGACGCUCAUGUGCGAAAGCGUGGGGAGCAAACAGG
RNAcentral lists this ribosomal RNA (253 nucleotides) under uncultured bacterium. RNAcentral's name for it is "partial 16S ribosomal RNA". It matches the Rfam family "Bacterial small subunit ribosomal RNA", at positions 524 to 776 of the family's 1533-position model. The record is from RNAcentral.